Molecule: ribosomal RNA, 440 nt
Filed under: uncultured bacterium
Lineage: Bacteria
Description: partial 16S ribosomal RNA
Rfam family: Bacterial small subunit ribosomal RNA
Source: RNAcentral
CCUACGGGUGGCAGCAGUGGGGAAUAUUGCACAAUGGGGGAAACCCUGAUGCAGCGACGCCGCGUGAAGGAAGAAGUAUUUCGGUAUGUAAACUUCUAUCAGCAGGGAACAAAAUGACGGUACCUGUCUGAGAAGCCCCGUCUAACUACGUGCCAGCAGCCGCUGUAAUACGUAGGGGGCAAGCGUUAUCCGGAUUUACUGGGUGUAAAGGGAGCGUAGGCGGUUUAGCACGUCAGAAGUGAAAGCCCGGGGCUCAACUCCGGGACUGCUUUUGAUACUGUUGAACUAGAUGGCAGGAGAGGUAAGUGGAAUUCCUAGUGUAGCGGUGAAAUGCGUAGAUAUUAGGAGGAACACCAGUGGCGAAGGCGGCUUACUGGACUGUAAAUGACGCUGAGGAUCGAAAGCGUGGGGAGCAAACAGGAUUAGAUACCCUAGUAGUC